Molecule: ribosomal RNA, 465 nt
Filed under: uncultured bacterium
Lineage: Bacteria
Description: partial 16S ribosomal RNA
Rfam family: Bacterial small subunit ribosomal RNA
Source: RNAcentral
GACGAACGCUGGCGGCGUGCUUAACACAUGCAAGUCGAACGGAAAGGCCCCUUUGGGGGUACUCGAGUGGCGAACGGGUGAGUAACACGUGAGUAACCUGCCCUUGACUUCGGGAUAACUUCAGGAAACUGGGGCUAAUACCAGAUAGGAAUCCUUGCUGCAUGGUGGGGGUUGGAAAGCUUCGGCGGUUUUGGAUGGACUCGCGGCUUAUCAGCUUGUUGGUGGGGUAGUGGCUUACCAAGGCUUUGACGGGUAGCCGGCCUGAGAGGGCGACCGGCCACAUUGGGACUGAGAUACGGCCCAGACUCCUACGGGAGGCAGCAGUGGGGAAUAUUGCACAAGGGGCGGAAGCCUGAUGCAGCAACGCCGCGUGCGGGAUGACGGCCUUCGGGUUGUAAACCGCUUUCAGCAGGGGCGAAGCUUGUGGUGACGGUACCUGCAGAAGAAGCACCGGCUAACUACGUG